RNAcentral lists this ribosomal RNA (494 nucleotides) under uncultured bacterium. Its description in RNAcentral is "partial 16S ribosomal RNA". It matches the Rfam family "Bacterial small subunit ribosomal RNA", at positions 28 to 507 of the family's 1533-position model. The record is from RNAcentral.
GACGAACGCUGGCGGCGUGCUUAACACAUGCAAGUCGAACGGUGAAGCGCCUUCCUUUUUGGUGGGUGUGGAUGAGUGGCGAACGGGUGAGUAACACGUGAGUAACCUGCCCCCUUCUUCUGGAUAACCGCAUGAAAGUGUGGCUAAUACGGGAUAUUCUGGGUCUGUCGCAUGAUGGGUCUGGGAAAGAUAUUGUUUCGGUUGGGGAUGGGCUCGCGGCCUAUCAGCUUGUUGGUGGGGUGAUGGCCUACCAAGGCGGUGACGGGUAGCCGGCCUGAGAGGGUGGACGGUCACACUGGGACUGAGACACGGCCCAGACUCCUACGGGAGGCAGCAGUGGGGAAUAUUGCACACUGGGCGCAAGCCUGAUGCAGCGACGCCGCGUGAGGGAUGGAGGCCUGCGGGUUGUGAACCUCUUUCGCCAGUGAAGCAGGCCUGCCUCGUUUGUGGGUGGGUUGACGGUAGCUGGAUAAGAAGCGCCGGCUAACUACGUG